Molecule: ribosomal RNA, 263 nt
Filed under: uncultured archaeon
Lineage: Archaea
Description: partial 16S ribosomal RNA
Rfam family: Archaeal small subunit ribosomal RNA
Source: RNAcentral
ACGUCUACAUUAGAUACCCCGGUAGUCCCAGCCGUAAACUAUGCGCGUUAGGUGUAUCGGUGACCACGAGUUACCGAGGUGCCGAAGGGAAACCGUGAAACGUGCCGCCUGGGAAGUACGGUCGCAAGGCUGAAACUUAAAGGAAUUGGCGGGGGAGCACCACAACAGGUGGAGCCUGCGGUUUAAUUGGACUCAACGCCGGGAAGCUCACCGGAUAGGACAGCAGAAUGAUUGCCGGGCUGAAGACCCUGCAUGACUAGCUG